CAUGUAGGCGGUCUGCUAAGUUCGGAGUGACAGUCACCAGCUUAACUGGUGAAGUGCUUCGAAAACUGGCGGACUUGAGAGCGAAAGAGGGACAUGGAAUUCCGGGUGGAGCAGUGAAAUGCGUAGAGAUCCGGAGGAACACCAAAGGCGAAGGCAGUGUCCUGGCUCGUUUCUGACGCUGAGAUGCGAAAGCCAGGGGAGCGAACCGGGAUUAGAUACCCCGGUAGUCCUGGCCGUAAACGAUGACCACCAGGCGUGGGAGGGAUCGACCCCUUCCGUGCCGUAGUCAACACAUUAAGUGGUCCGCCUGGGGAGUACGGUCGCAAGACUAAA
Molecule: ribosomal RNA, 333 nt
Filed under: uncultured bacterium
Lineage: Bacteria
Description: bacterial SSU rRNA
Rfam family: Bacterial small subunit ribosomal RNA
Source: RNAcentral